GCGGUAUCCUAACCGUGCGAAGGUAGCGCAAUCAAUUGUCCCAUAAAUCGGGACUUGUAUGAAUGGCUAAACGAGGCCUUAACUGUCUCUUACAGAUAGUCAGUGAAAUUGAUCUCCCUGUACAAAAGCAGGAAUAAAUACAUAAGACGAGAAGACCCUGUGGAACUUAAAAAUCAGCGGCCACUAUACAUAAAUACACACCUACCAGGCCCACAGCUACAAACCUAAUUGCUGGCCCCCAUUUUUCGGUUGGGGCGACCUUGGAGAAAAGAAAAACCUCCAAAAAUAAGAUCAUACCUCUUAACUAAGAGCAACCCCUCAACGUACUAAUAGUAACCAGAUCCAAUAAAAAUUGACCAAUGGACCAAGCUACCCCAGGGAUAACAGCGCA
This 391-nucleotide ribosomal RNA is filed under the name Parabuteo unicinctus (Harris's hawk). RNAcentral's name for it is "partial 16S ribosomal RNA". It matches the Rfam family "Bacterial large subunit ribosomal RNA", at positions 1933 to 2484 of the family's 2925-position model. The record is from RNAcentral. Lineage: Eukaryota; Metazoa; Chordata; Aves; Accipitriformes; Accipitridae.